CUGCCCUGGAGCGCCCUGGCGCUGCUCUUGCUGCUGCUGCUGCUGCUCCUGCUGCUGCUGCUCCUGCUCGCGGAUGGCUAGGCUGCCCGAGGCCGCGCACACUCCGCGCGUGGCCCGGGCCGGGGUGCCGAGACUACCGAGGGCGCCCACUCCACCCCUUGAUGGACCAAGACUCGCCUGCAGUGUGGGAUGGGGGCUCCCCGAGGCCUCCUGCCUGGAAAAGCAAAGGUGGUUUCUCCGUGGACAGUUUGGUUAGGCAGUAGCCCCACAGCUGGAUUCAAGACCCUUACAGCCUGGAGUCAUUUCGUGUACCACUUGGUUUCCCCAGAACUCUGCAGCACGUGCGCCAUGUGUAGCAGGAACUUCACGUUUAUCAAUAACAAAGCAUCAUAGUCAACAAUGACUCAAAACAAAGUGUUUUAGAAAUUUAUUCAUUAUUUAUUCCCUGCUACUUCCAAAGGAGGAUCUGAGAUAACUUAUAGUAAAACACUUGUAGAAAA
Molecule: long non-coding RNA, 500 nt
Organism: Canis lupus familiaris (dog)
Lineage: Eukaryota; Metazoa; Chordata; Mammalia; Carnivora; Canidae
Exons: 2
Source: RefSeq, a predicted model, not a curated record